GCCUGGGUGGCGAAAUUGGUAGACGCAGCAGACUUAAAAUCUGCCGACCCUUAUUACGGUCGUGCCGGUUCGAUUCCGGCCCUAGGCACCA
This 91-nucleotide transfer RNA is filed under the name Lysobacteraceae bacterium. Its description in RNAcentral is "tRNA-Leu". It matches the Rfam family "tRNA". From Rfam's summary of the family: Transfer RNA (tRNA) molecules are approximately 80 nucleotides in length. Their secondary structure includes four short double-helical elements and three loops (D, anti-codon, and T loops). The record is from RNAcentral. Lineage: Bacteria; Pseudomonadati; Pseudomonadota; Gammaproteobacteria; Lysobacterales; Lysobacteraceae. RNAcentral also lists the same sequence under 1 other name.